Molecule: unclassified non-coding RNA, 300 nt
Filed under: Hevea brasiliensis (rubber tree)
Lineage: Eukaryota; Viridiplantae; Streptophyta; Magnoliopsida; Malpighiales; Euphorbiaceae
Source: RNAcentral
CCGGAAUCGACCCGCUCGAUCUCGCGCGCGACCAGGCCAUAAGCCACGUAGCUCGCAUUGGCGCAGCCGUAUUCUUCCGGCAGCGUGACGCCGAUCAGGCCGAGCUCACCCAUCUCGUUGAAGAUUUCGCGAUCGGUCUUCUCUUCGGCAUACGCCUGCGUGACGCGCGGCAACAGCUUGUCCUGGGCGUAAGCGCGCGCGGUGUCGCGGAUCAUGCGCUCGUCCUCGGUCAACUGCUCGUCGAGCAGGAACGGAUCGUCCCACUGGAAUGUCGCCUUGGCUGGCUUGUCCUUGGUCUGC